UUGUGGGAACCUUCCACGGUUUCUGCGACGCAGCUAACGCAUUAAGUGCCCCGCCUGGGGAGUACGAUCGCAAGAUUAAAACUCAAAGGAAUUGACGGGGCCCCGCACAAGCAGCGGAGCAUGCGGCUUAAUUCGACGCAACGCGAAGAACCUUACCAAGGCUUGACAUAUAGGGAAAAGUGGCAGAGAUGUCAUGUCCGCAAGGGCUCUAUACAGGUGGUGCAUGGUUGUCGUCAGCUCGUGUCGUGAGAUGUUGGGUUAAGUCCCGCAACGAGCGCAACCCUCGUUUUUAGUUGCCUUUUAUGGAACUCUAAAAAGACUGCUGGUUAUAAACCGGAGGAAGGUGGGGAUGACGUCAAGUCAGCAUGCCCCUUACACCCUGGGCUACACACGUGCUACAUUGGGCGAGACAAUGAGAUGCAAAUCUGCAAAGACUAGCUAAUCUAUAAACUCGUUCUAAGUUCGGAUUGUAGGCUGCAACUCGCCUACAUGAAGGUGGAAUCGCUAGU
RNAcentral lists this ribosomal RNA (509 nucleotides) under uncultured bacterium. RNAcentral's name for it is "bacterial SSU rRNA". It matches the Rfam family "Bacterial small subunit ribosomal RNA", at positions 820 to 1339 of the family's 1533-position model. The record is from RNAcentral.